Molecule: small RNA, 661 nt
Filed under: Vincetoxicum atratum
Lineage: Eukaryota; Viridiplantae; Streptophyta; Magnoliopsida; Gentianales; Apocynaceae
Description: eukaryotic LSU rRNA
Rfam family: 5.8S ribosomal RNA (bases 245-400)
Source: RNAcentral
CGGAAGGAUCAUUGUCAAAUCCUCGUACCGAAUGACCUGCGAACACGUUCCGAAAAUCACAAGCGCUGUUGCGCCCUUGCUCGGUGUGGGUCGGCGACUUGUUGCCGGACGCGUCGAGCAUCGAAAACAAAAUCCGGCGCGGGAAGCGCCAAGGACUGGCGAAAUAGAGGACGGCCUUCCCGCGGCAUCCUGGCCGCGGGGAUUAAAAAGGGUCUCCAAAUGAAAAUGUUGUAUAAUAGAGUACGACUCUCGGCAACGGAUAUCUAGGCUCUCGCAUCGAUGAAGAACGUAGCAAACUGCGAUAGUUGGUGUGAAUUGCAGAAUCCCGUGAACCAUGGAGUCUUUGAACGCAAGUUGCGCCCGAAGCCAUUAGGCCGAGGGCACGUCUGCCUGGGCGUCACACGCAUUGCGUCGUCCCCCCCUCACCCGUGUCCCGAAAGGGUCGCGGGCCUUAGCGUGGGGGGCGGAAGUUGGCUUCCCGUGCAGCGUUUGCGGCUAGCCUGAAACAACGGUUCCCUCGGCGCGGACGUCGCGACAAGUGGUGGUCGUCGAGAUUGUACGCGAGUUGCCGGCAAGCUGCGUCGAGGAGAGCAUUUGGACCCCGUGCGAGACGAGUCCCUUCAGCGAGGGGCAAUCGCAACGAUUGCGACCCCAGUCAGGC